This 68-nucleotide transfer RNA is filed under the name Nucula nucleus. RNAcentral describes it as "tRNA-Tyr". Lineage: Eukaryota; Metazoa; Mollusca; Bivalvia; Nuculida; Nuculidae. The record is from RNAcentral.
UAUAAAGUGUCUGAACUAAAAUAAGUGAUAGACUGUAAAUCUAUUUAUGGGCCCAUGCCCCUUUAUAC